RNAcentral lists this ribosomal RNA (468 nucleotides) under uncultured bacterium. RNAcentral's name for it is "partial 16S ribosomal RNA". It matches the Rfam family "Bacterial small subunit ribosomal RNA", at positions 28 to 507 of the family's 1533-position model. The record is from RNAcentral.
GACGAACGCUGGCGGCGUGCUUAACACAUUCAAGUCGAACGGAAAGGCCCUGCUUUUGUGGGUUUCUUGAUUGGCGAACGGGUGAGUAACACGUGAGUAUCCUGCCCUUGACUUUGGGAUAACUUCAGGAAACUGGGGCUAAUACCGGAUAUGAUCUUCUGCUGCAUGUUGGGGGUUGGAAAGUUUCGGCUGUUGUGGAUGGACUCGCGGCUUAUCAGCUUGUUUGUGUGGUAGUUGCUUACCAAGCCUUUGACGGGUAGCCGGCAUGAGAGGGUUACCGGGCACAUGAGGACUGAGAUACGGACCAGAAUCGUACGGGAGGCAGCAGGGGGAAAUAUUGCACAAUGAGCGGAAGUCUGAUACAGAAACGCCGCGUGCGGGAUGACGGCCUUCGGGUUAUGAACCGAUUUGGAAUGUGACGAAGAGUGAGUGACGGUAAUGGAUAAAGAAGCAACGGCUAACUACGUG